Molecule: transfer RNA, 67 nt
Filed under: Callimenellus fumidus
Lineage: Eukaryota; Metazoa; Arthropoda; Insecta; Orthoptera; Tettigoniidae
Description: tRNA-Phe
Source: RNAcentral
AUUUAAAUAGCUUAAAAUUAGAGCAGUACAUUGAAGAUGUAAGGGUGGUUAUGUUAACCUUUAGAUA